UGGGAUGUAGCUCAGAGGUAGAGCACUUGCUUAACAUGCAAAUGACCCAAGGUUUAAUCCUGAGCAGCACAA
This 72-nucleotide transfer RNA is filed under the name Fukomys damarensis (Damara mole-rat). It matches the Rfam family "tRNA". From Rfam's summary of the family: Transfer RNA (tRNA) molecules are approximately 80 nucleotides in length. Their secondary structure includes four short double-helical elements and three loops (D, anti-codon, and T loops). Lineage: Eukaryota; Metazoa; Chordata; Mammalia; Rodentia; Bathyergidae. The record is from Rfam by way of RNAcentral.